Molecule: long non-coding RNA, 658 nt
Organism: Rhincodon typus (whale shark)
Lineage: Eukaryota; Metazoa; Chordata; Chondrichthyes; Orectolobiformes; Rhincodontidae
Exons: 5
Source: RefSeq, a predicted model, not a curated record
AGAGAGUGUGAGGAGGCCCCUCCCACCCACAUCCGGGCAAACCCGGGGCCCGCUGAGCGUCAGGGAAAGGGGGCGGUCACGUGACGCGCUGCGCGGCGGCCAUCUUAGAAUCGGCGGAGAAUCCGCAGCGACGGCGACGAUUGAGAGGCGGAGACGGACUAUCCUGAUUCACCGGAGAUCUGUUUCUCUUAGGUGGUGGUGAGACGUCAGGUCAUCAGAAUAAUUCUCUACAAAGCUAUUUUUAGUUGUAUUGCAGUUUGAUUCACAUCUGGAAUCCUGUCCUGACAGAAACUAGAAAGGACACGGAGUUGAUAUCCACAGCUUUCUGAUGCCCUAGUCUCUAUGGCUGCCAGCGCUCGACUUCGAGUCAGACGCUGUCCCCACCAAAAUCUGAACUAAAGCAUUAACUUCAAGCACAGGUGCUGAGACCAAUUGUAGUAACCCCUCCCCGCAAUCAUCCUUGAAGACAGUGUGUAACCAGCUGAGCUACUGGGGAAAUUUGAAGUAAGCCAGAGUGUUUUGUAAACUAUAAAGGGAAUUACCUUCAGACCAAUUCAUCUGUUGUAUUAGCCACUCAGAAGAACAUAUCUUGGGGAGUCUCCAACGCCGGUUGUAGGUUGGGGAACCUGACCUGUGGUCAAGGUAGGUGACAUUCUCC